RNAcentral lists this ribosomal RNA (478 nucleotides) under uncultured bacterium. Its description in RNAcentral is "partial 16S ribosomal RNA". It matches the Rfam family "Bacterial small subunit ribosomal RNA", at positions 28 to 507 of the family's 1533-position model. The record is from RNAcentral.
GAUGAACGCUGGCGGCGUGCUUAACACAUGCAAGUCGAACGAGAAAUGGAGACGGAAACCUUCGGGCGGAAGGCUUCAUUUCGAGUGGCGGACGGGUGAGUAACGCGUGGGUAACCUGCCUCAUACAGGGGGAUAACAGUUGGAAGCGACUGUUAAUACCGCAUAAGACCACAGCACCGCAUGGUGCGGGGGUAAAAACUCCGGUGGUAUGAGAUGGACCCGCGUUCGAUUAGCCAGUUGGCGGGGUAACGGCCCACCAAAGCGACGAUCGAUAGCCGAUCUGAGAGGAUGACCGGCCACAUUGGGACUGAGACACGGCCCAAACUCCUACGGGAGGCAGCAGUGGGGAAUAUUGCACAAUGGGGGAAACCCUGAUGCAGCGACGCCGCGUGAGUGAAGAAGUACUUCGGUAUGUAAAGCUCUAUCAGCAGGGAAGAAAAUGACGGUACCUGAGUAAGAAGCCCCGGCUAACUACGUG